RNAcentral lists this long non-coding RNA (423 nucleotides) under Homo sapiens (human). RNAcentral's name for it is "non-protein coding lnc-CHST11-1:1". The record is from RNAcentral. Lineage: Eukaryota; Metazoa; Chordata; Mammalia; Primates; Hominidae.
GUGCAUGUCCAGGCUUUGGGGCAGGUAACUGAAGUCUUUGGCCUAUGAGGUGAGAGGUCACUUGGGUGACCUGGGAGUAAAUCCCUUCCCCUCCCUGGCUCUGUAAAGCCAAGUGUUAAAUGAGAGACUUAUAUUCCAGGCAAAGGCUUUGUGCAAAUGCCCAUCUAAGCCAUGCCCUCUGCAAGGAAUCCCCUUUCUUAGUGAUGAUGGUGGGGAGGUGGGGAGGGUGCAGUGCAACUCCCAUUCCUGAUCUCCUAUCACCAGAGCAGAAGAAUCACUGGAGAACGACUCUGUCUGAAGCUUGUUCAGCCUGGCUUCCUUGAGCAAGCAACUUAUUCACAGGCGCCCUCCCCUCGCCGGGGGCCGCGAGUUGCAUUUGGUAAAACCCAGCCCCGGAAUAUAUAGAUCGUUGGAGCGCAAUGA